RNAcentral lists this ribosomal RNA (206 nucleotides) under uncultured bacterium. RNAcentral's name for it is "partial 16S ribosomal RNA". It matches the Rfam family "Bacterial small subunit ribosomal RNA", at positions 568 to 774 of the family's 1533-position model. The record is from RNAcentral.
UGCGUAGGUGGUUUCUUAAGUCAGAAGUGAAAGGCUACGGCUCAACCGUAGUAAGCUUUUGAAACUGAGAAACUUGAGUGCAGGAGAGGAGAGUAGAAUUCCUAGUGUAGCGGUGAAAUGCGUAGAUAUUAGGAGGAAUACCAGUUGCGAAGGCGGCCCUCUGGACUGUAACUGACACUGAGGCACGAAAGCGUGGGGAGCAAACA